UACGUUAGUUUAUAACAAAACAUUCCUCCUUCAAUGGAAAGAUGGGAAUUUUUCCUUCGUAAUU
RNAcentral lists this transfer RNA (64 nucleotides) under Brueelia nebulosa. RNAcentral describes it as "tRNA-Glu". Lineage: Eukaryota; Metazoa; Arthropoda; Insecta; Psocodea; Philopteridae. The record is from RNAcentral.